CGGAACCUGCCUCAUACAGAGGGAUAAUCAUGUGAAAACGUAGACUAAUACCGCAUGUCAUUACCGGAGGGGCAUCCUCCGGUAAGAAAAAGGAAGCAAUCCGGUAUGAGAUGGGCCCGCAUCUGAUUAGCUAGUUGGUGAGAUAACAGCCCACCAAGGCGGCGAUCAGUAGCCGACCUGAGAGGGUGAUCGGCCACAUUGGGACUGAGACACGGCCCAG
RNAcentral lists this ribosomal RNA (220 nucleotides) under uncultured bacterium. Its description in RNAcentral is "partial 16S ribosomal RNA". It matches the Rfam family "Bacterial small subunit ribosomal RNA", at positions 119 to 334 of the family's 1533-position model. The record is from RNAcentral.